This 497-nucleotide ribosomal RNA is filed under the name uncultured bacterium. Its description in RNAcentral is "partial 16S ribosomal RNA". It matches the Rfam family "Bacterial small subunit ribosomal RNA", at positions 28 to 507 of the family's 1533-position model. The record is from RNAcentral.
GAUGAACGCUGGCGGCGUGCCUAAUACAUGCAAGUCGAGCGAACAGACGAGGAGCUUGCUCCUCUGACGUUAGCGGCGGACGGGUGAGUAACACGUGGAUAACCUACCUAUAAGACUGGGAUAACUUCGGGAAACCGGAGCUAAUACCGGAUAAUAUAUUGAACCGCAUGGUUCAAUAGUGAAAGACGGUUUUGCUGUCACUUAUAGAUGGAUCCGUGCCGCAUUAGCUAGUUGGUAAGGUAACGGCUUACCAAGGCGACGAUGCGUAGCCGACCUGAGAGGGUGAUCGGCCACACUGGAACUGAGACACGGUCCAGACUCCUACGGGAGGCAGCAGUAGGGAAUCUUCCGCAAUGGGCGAAAGCUUGACGGAGCAACGCCGCGUGAGUGAUGAAGGUCUUCGGAUCGUAAAACUCUGUUAUUAGGGAAGAACAAAUGUGUAAGUAACUAUGCACGUCUUGACGGUACCUAAUCAGAAAGCCACGGCUAACUACGUG